AAUGAACGCUGGCGGCAGGCCUAACACAUGCAAGUCGAACGGAUCCUUCGGGAUUAGUGGCGGACGGGUGAGUAACGCGUGGGAACAUACCCUUUGGUACGGAAUAGCCUCGGGAAACUGGGAGUAAUACCGUAUGUGCUCUUCGGAGGAAAGAUUUAUCGCCAAAGGAUUGGCCCGCGUUGGAUUAGGUAGUUGGUGGGGUAAUGGCCUACCAAGCCGACGAUCCAUAGCUGGUUUGAGAGGAUGAUCAGCCACACUGGGACUGAGACACGGCCCAGACUCCUACGGGAGGCAGCAGUGGGGAAUCUUAGACAAUGGGGGAAACCCUGAUCUAGCCAUGCCGCGUGAUCGAUGAAGGCCUUAGGGUUGUAAAGAUCUUUCAGUGGGAAGAUAAUGACGGUACCCACAGAAGAAGCCCCGGCUAACUCCGUGCCAGCAGCCGCGGUAAU
This 449-nucleotide ribosomal RNA is filed under the name uncultured bacterium. RNAcentral's name for it is "bacterial SSU rRNA". It matches the Rfam family "Bacterial small subunit ribosomal RNA", at positions 29 to 524 of the family's 1533-position model. The record is from RNAcentral.